This is a non-coding RNA of Manis javanica (Malayan pangolin), 1400 nucleotides long. The record is from RefSeq and is a predicted model, not a curated record. Lineage: Eukaryota; Metazoa; Chordata; Mammalia; Pholidota; Manidae.
GCAGAGCUCGCUAGGAGGCCGGAGCCGGGGCCGUGCUGGUGCGGAGGGAGACAAGGGCGUGCGUCCAGGAAAUAUUCAGGAGGGAAACUGGGCGCGACCUGCUAAACCAAACCCGCUCUGAACUUGCUCUGUCCCAGUUGGUGCCCUUGAUGGGGUCAUACAUCACCAGCCUGCUUCCCCCGGAUGCCCACUUUAGCUGCACAUCGUCCAGCAGGUCAUAAAUGCGGUGAGGAUGAGGGCCAGGCCUGUAAGCGGCGAGGCUACCGGGCUCCUUAAGGUGAAGGACAACCUCACUGGUAAGACAGCUUUGACUAACAGCCCGCCUGACCGAGGCCUGUGCCCGCCUCUGCCCUCCAGGUUCCUACCGCCUAACGAGAGGAAGAGCUGCGGUUGAGCAGCUCUGAGUGGACUUCCCAGAGGGAAGCAGGCCUGGAGGAGGGAGGACCUCCCAGAUUUCACCUAAACAAUGGACAGGAUUUUUCUGAAAAUGCCAUUUGGAUGUUUUUAAAUAAGAAUCAUCUGCAAAAGAAUUUCUAGAAGUUUGAACUCCACUACUCAAAUGAUCUCAAAGAUCAUUUCGAGUAGAUGUUGAAAGAGUGAUAACCACAUAGAUACCGAUAGUCUUUAAAUAUUUUUUUUCUAUUUUUAAUAAUUAAAUUAUUAAUUCAAUCAACAAUGGUAAUGUAGAAAAGUAAAAAGAACAAGACAAUAAUCCACACUUCUACCUCCUGAGAGAAAUGACAUUAAUAUUUAGAAAUUUUUUUCUAUUUUGGAGAGUGUUAAAUGUAAUAUAUAUGUGCAUAUACAUAGAUAACAUGUACCCUGCUUUUCUUAAUGUAUUAGCAUUUUCUCAUAGCAUCCAAUAUUCUUUUACACCAUUAUUUUAAUGAUUGCAUAAAUCCAUUUCUAUGAAUGCACCAUAAUUUAUGUAACCAUUCUAGCAAGAGAGAUUUGUGUUUUUUCCAAUUCUACACUGUUACAGAUAGUGCUUCAGCAAGCAUUUUGGAACAUAAAUACUUGCAUCUCUGAUUAUUUCUCUAGGAAAUAUUCACAGAAGUGGGAUUACAAUGUCCAUGGGUAAGGAAUUUAUAAAGAAGUUAAGUAUUGACAAAUGUACACCCUCACCACCAGGAUAGGAAAGUGUCAGUCUUAACAUAACCUUACUAACAAUGGGUAUUAUUAUCUUUAAAAAGUUUAAGCCAUGUGAUAGGCAAAAAUGACACCUUGCUUUUGAUUUAAUUUGUGUCAGUUAUUAGUGAACAUUUUCCCCAUGCAUGAAUUAACCAUUUGUAUAUUUUCUUUUGUGAAUAAAUUGUUUAUACUUUUUUCUCACUUUUCUGUUAAGUUAUUGUAGGUUUUUAAAAAAUUCUUUGUUUUUGGUUUUUAUUUCAGUCUUUCAU